This 6158-nucleotide long non-coding RNA is filed under the name Sus scrofa (pig). RNAcentral describes it as "lncRNA (ENSSSCG00065055777.1)". The record is from RNAcentral. Lineage: Eukaryota; Metazoa; Chordata; Mammalia; Artiodactyla; Suidae.
UUUUUUUCUUUCUUUUUUUUAAUACAUAUUUUUCAUCCUAGAGAUUGACUUGCUAGCUAACAUAACGGCUAUUAUAAUGUUGCCCACGAAUUCCAGAACUGUGUGAAGCAGAUAGACAAUAAUUAGAAGUAGAUUCUUGAGUCCCGAAAAAGCUUUGAUUUAGCAAGGGAAACACAUCCUGAGAAGCCUCAUUCCUAUUGUCUCCAAGAAUUGGUAAUGCAUGAAAUGUCUACCUCUUAAUCAAGAAGGACGAACAGGUCUUGAUAAAGUGGACUUGUGAAAAGGCUGGACCUUGCCACUUUCAUCCUCAUUCCCUCACCAACUCCAAGUCUCUGAACCCACUUUUAAAAUGUUGAGCUUCAGAAAGGGGUGUGUGUGUGUGUGUGUGUGUGUGUGUGUGUGUGUGUGUGUAAAAUUUUAGUCUAUCCUUGGGUUCCAGGGAAAUUUUCCCCUCUUUGGGACUAUCUGAAACCUUGCUUUAAAUAAGGUGCUGGUCCUUUCAUCUUUGGUCAUGUUUUGAGAAUAAAGGUCCUGACCUAGCAUCUAAUUCCUCACACUGGAACCACGAUGACAAAAUAAGGAAGUGUCCUAUUUGGGGCAGUUAUUUUUCUACCACAAACACAGAGAAACAGAAAAAUAAAGCAGACAGGGGAGUGGAGUGGGGUGGAGUUGGGAGGGGGGGAUGAGAGAAAGAGAGAGAAAAAGAAUUUCCAGCAACACCAAGUUCCUUUUGAAGAGCAGCUAUACUUUUCUGCCCUUAAAUUCCAUGAGAAAACAUGCAAAUACCCCUUCACAUGAAUUAGCUCUGAAAAAAUCUCUGCUACUUGCAGUCAAAAAAAUAUUGACUAAAACACUAGCCAGAGAUAAUUUAUCUCAUGUUCACCCACUGGACUCCAGCUAUGACUCAAACAUUAUCCUCAGUAAACAUUAGACCUCUGAAUAUUCUGGUUUUCCUUAAGAACACCUCAUGCUCCAACAUUAGUUCACUAACUUUCUUUGCUGAAACAAAUAAGCAAACAAAACCUACCAAUGGAGAACUUAUUAUUACCUUUAUACAAUCUUCAAAAUUAUAGUUGUUUUUUAAGAGGUAACAUGAUCUUGUUGAGAUAUUACAUGCUAAAAUGUGAAUGCCCUAUAUCUUAAUCCUCUUAGACAUGAGAGAUAUUUCUCUUCAAGAUAAGCUCUAAUUUCCAGUUGUUGAGGUUAAUGUAGCAGGCUGACAAUGACAUUGUGAUUUCUUUCAAAUUUAAUUCAAUCCAACCGAUAUAUGAAAUUACUACCUUUGGAACCAUAUUUGGGUUCAACACUAAAGUCACUGAACUCCCCCCUUAUCUUAAUUUCCUCAGCCACAAAAUAAAGACAAAUAUCUACCUUUCAGAUUUGUAGGGGGAACUAAUAAAGCACAGAACAAAAUUACAGCUUUCAAGUCACAUCCAUGCUGGUUAUCACAAUUAAUGCAUUCAGGGAGGUUCUGGGUUUGCUUUAUAUUUGAAGUCAUCUCUUCUCCCUUCUAUUAAGGACAGUCCUCAAGGCAUCAGGAAAUCUCCUGACUUUUGGGUGGUAUCACAGCAUUAUAGGAAAAUGACAAGCUUGCACUAGGGAAUGACAAAUACUUGGCGUGAGAGCCACCAAUCCUGGCUUCCAUGUCUAUGGCAGACAUUGCUAACUGACCUCAUCACUCUUUCUCAUUGACUAGUGACAUAAUCCCAGAGUUUUCAAAUCAGUAGUCUGGGCAGUAACUCCUAACUAAUUAGAGCUAGCAUCAAGAUUAAAGCAUUUUACCAUUAACAGUUCAGGACAAAGAUGAGAAAACUUUUUCUGCAAAGAGCCAGAGACCAAAUAUUUUUGAUUUUGUGUGUCAUAUGAUCUCUGUUACAACUAUUCACCUCCAUAUUUGUAGUACAAAAGCAACCAUAGACAAUAUGUAAACAGAUGCUGGUGAUUGUGUUCCAAUAAAACCACAUUUAUAAUAGAAGGCAAUAGGCUAGAUUUGUCCCACAGCCCACUGUUUGCCAACUUCAGGUUUAGAAUCUUUCCUAAAAUCAAGGGGAGUCAUUAAAAUGGAAAAUCCUGCAGAAAUUAUUUCAGGAGAGUUUGCAGAAGCACUCUGGCAACCCAGCUAGGUGAGGGUAUAAAAAUGGGCCCAAGACCUAAGGACUUCCUUUGUUUAUUCUGCCUGAAAUUCUGCUGGUCCAUUUCUCUCUCACUGUCAGAGACUGCAGAGGUAAGUGUGCCCCAUUUCUCUUGGACCUCAGCUAAUGCAGUGUCUGCUCCAGGUGUUUGUGCUGAUGUGAAAAUGCACUGAUGUAUCCUACACAGGCCAUUUACGGUUAAUGUUAGAUUAUAACACUGGUUUUUAACCUUGAGUCUGAAGUUCCUUUCCACUUAUACUCAUAAUCCGAAAGAUCACUGGAAACUCACACUGCCUCAGCAAUUAUAGUGAGCCUCCCCCAUAAUCAUGCAAUGGAACUGAGUUACAGAAAAGUAUUAACAAAACUUUCUAGUCUCUUUUGGAGAAUUCUCACACUGAAUCCCAUGUUAAAUUUUCUUCAACAGGGAGAAAUAUGGACGGUUGAGUGUAUGGCUUUGGUAAACCAUUUUUACCUUCCUGAGCCACAAUUUCUUCAUUCAUAAAAUGGAGAUAAAAAUACCUUCUCUACCUAUUCCAUAAAGUUUUAUCAGACUCAAUGGGUACUUUUAAAAAAAAAAAACAACUUAAUUUUAUAUGUGUCACAAAUAUAAAAAAAAAACUUAAUUUCAUAUGUGUCACCCUUUAUUUAUUUAUUUAUUUAUUUGCCUUUUUAGGGCCUCACCCAUAGCAUAUGGAGGUUUCCAGGCUAGGGGUCCAAUCGGAGCUGCAGCUGCCAGUCUACACCACAGCCACAGCAACGCCAGAUCCGAGCCACGUCUUCGACCUACACCACAGCUCACGGCAACGCCAGAUCCUUAACCCACUGAGCAAAGCCAGGGAUCGAACCCGCAACCUCAUGGUUCCUAGUCAGAUUCAUUUCUGCUGCGCCACAACGGGAAGUCCUUUUUUAUUUUUAUUUAUUUAUUUUUUCACGCACACCCAUUAAAAUCCUUUCCAGUCCAGUUUUAACACUAUUCUUUCAAGUAUCCAGCAUUAGCAAAUCAGACAAAUAUAAAGUUACUUAAAUCCUACAUGCCUAUGCCAAGGAAGGUGAAGAUAAAAUAUCCUAAGACAUAAAGGACAGAAGCAAUGACUACUGCUGGGAAGUGUUAGGUAAGAAUUAUUUAUCAUAAUAGCUUUGAUUGGGCAGAAAGAGCCCUUCAAAUUCUACCUGAAGGCCCUUCAAGAAAAAUUAGGAACUAAUGGUAUUAUUAUAAAAUCAGAGCUGCUGCUCUCCUUCCAAAGUCCCUAGAUUGCAUGAGAAUAGUAUAUACGAUUUCCUGGAGAAGUUCAGAUUUAGCAAUGUUCCCAGAAGACUUUGAAAACAUUUAUUUCAGAACAGUCUAUACUUUCUUCAUACAUGCAUUUACCAAAUGACUAAACACCACAUUUUUGGUGUCAAAAGAGAUCUAUGUCAAUAGCUUUUUCCAAGAUCAUUUAGUUCCUUUUUUCCUCAAUUUUCCCCACGCUACAAACCCUACUUAGUUCUUUGUAAAAUAACAGUUACAAAUAUAUGCUUUCCUUCUUCAUAAGGAUAAAAAAGGAACAAAUGAAAGAAUACCUAUGAAGGUACUUUGAAACUGAAAGAUCCAUACAGCCAAGUCUAGAAAACUUUCUAAAUAACAUUCUGCAAGUUAAACAGGAAGGAUGAUCUCCUUACAAGCAGUAUUUUUUUAUCAAGGUGAUUUCUGUAAUGGAAAAUUAAAUAACUCACCUUUUAUUACUUUUGCUUUUCCUCCCACUUUAGAGUCAGCUGCCUCUGAUUAAACAGUCUCUGCUGUUUAACAGUUUACCUACCAUUUACUCAUAAACUAAUAAAGUAACCAACUUUAAUAAGAAAAACAGGACACCUAUCAUUCUUACAAAGUACAUCAUGUUUAUUCUUCACAGGGAGUAACAGCCAUAAUUUGUAUAUUAAAAAAAAAAAACAGGCAGUAUGUUUGGCUAUUUUCCUAGUUGGGAAAAAAUAAAGCUUUUUCUGUUCAACUUCUUAGGUCCAUAUGAUGGGGAUAGGGGUAGCAUUCCCAGUGGUAAAUCCAGGAUCCCAUUCUUUAGGAGGUGCUUUUGAGUGUCCUGUGCUGUGGAAGUGGAGGAUUAGCCACACAGAUUACUUUGGACAGGUCAGGUGAAGUGUCAAGGCAGACAGCAUUGCUCCUGAAGGAAAGCUGAAGGUCAUGUCUGCAGGGAGCCCUCGUAGACAUAAUGAGGGGGAUAACACAGUACUUCAGCAGCAGCCAUCACUCAAACUGCAAUGGAAAGUCUGCCAGUGAUGCUCACACUCUGCAGCCUCAUGCCUCUGGCCAUGGAAGCUCUUGCUCUGGCAGAGAAAGGGUGCUGGGUCAAGUUGACCCUUCUCCUCCAAUGGGGACUCUCCAAGCAUGGAGACUCCGAAGUGGGCCUCCUCCCUUCGCUCUGUGGCUUCCCCCCGCCCUGUUUUCCCUCCACCCCAAGGGUAGGAGCUUCUGACUGGCCAUCUAUCCUCUUCAUUUCCAUCAAGGAUGUGUUAACUUUAGGCACUGCUCCUUUUGGGCUUUCCCUUCGGAUUUCUGAAAUGCUUUUCUCCUCUGUAAGAGCCUGAGUCUUACACAUCAAAAGCUUCACCUUUCACAAAUGUUUCUCUGAAUUAGACGGCAAGAGCCAAAUUUGGAAGACAAAAAUUAAACAUUUUCUCUUUCAUAAUAAUCCAACCAUCCUUCACAUAAUGGGCAUCUCAGUGGAACUAGGAAAAGGUGGUUUGAGGACACUGCCGUAUUCCAAUUACUAUCCCUUUGCAUUAGUCAGUGCUUUCUGGGGUCCUUUCCAACAAGCAGGAGGUUCAAACUGAGGUGAUACUCGUCUGAUUUUCAUCUCUUCUCUUCAAGAACUUGCUCACAGACUAAGUUACUUCUUCCCAUUCAUAAGGGGACCAGGGAGAGCCAGGCCUAGCUGGCAUAGAGCCCUAUUUCUAUUAUACAAUACAUCACAUUAAGCAAUAUAUUUUUGUGAGAUUCUAUUUUAAGGGUUUUUUUUUUUUUUGAAAUCAUGUCAAGGCACUUCUUGGAAGCCCUAAUAAAACACAGGCUAUAUAUGUAUCUCUUAUUGAACUAAUAAGAAAGCAUAAUUCCAAAGUAUACUCAAAACAAAAAGCUAUAGGUAUAAUCACACACACACACAUGCGCACACAUGCACACACACACAUACACCCUCCAAAGAAUGCUUCUCAAAGAGUGUUACUUGAGCACUGAAAGAUUUGGGAAACUCUUCAGGAGAACAGCAACACCUUCUCUUUAUUAGACGUAUACUCUGUACUAGUGCUGCACAUAUGAUAACUCAGUUCACUCAAAGCUCUAAAGUAAAUAUCCCCCCAUUUUACUUACAGAAAGAUUAGAUGACUUGCCCAAUUUCAUACAGCCAGUAAAUGAGGGAGUCAGAAUUCAAGCCCUAGUUUACCCAACACAAACAUAUGUACAACAGAAUCAACUACAGAGCUAGUAACAAUACCGACGCCUACACACCUCCAGGGACUGCCAUCAACUAAAUCCUGGGAUGCAGGUCACUGUGCAAGUUAGCCCUGACUCAGGUUCUAGAUCAUUUCAGUUUAGAAUUAUGAGCACUGCUCCUGGUAGUUUUGUGAUCCGGAGACAUUAACUUAACUUCCCUGAGCUUGAGUUUCAUCGUCUUUAAAAUAGAAGGAGAGAGCCCUACAGUGUCUUCCCCAUUAGGUCAUUCUGAGGACUAAGUGAGUUAGCAGAUGUAAGCUACUUAGAAUGAUACCUUGACGUACUGAACGCAGUUAUUAUUAUUACUGGCCUGAUGCUCUAUUACUCAGUGUAUCACAUUACACAGUGUAUUUGUGUAAGAUACCAUUCUAGAUCCGAGGAUGACUGUGCUGCACUCUUCUUCUGACUUUGAAGAAUCCACAGGGGUAAACAUCUAAUCACACACAACAAUUUCAGGACAGUCUCACCUUUUUGCAAUGCAAAUUUACUAUUAAGAAAUCAUAUUAACUAGCCACAAGACAAUUGAAGAAUGCAUUUUUCAGCUAUGC